Molecule: ribosomal RNA, 261 nt
Filed under: uncultured bacterium
Lineage: Bacteria
Description: partial 16S ribosomal RNA
Source: RNAcentral
GGACUACAGGGGUUUCUAAUCCUUAUUGCUACCCAAGCCUUCGUCCCUCAACGUCAGUUUUUAGAUAGAAGGCAACCUUCGCCUUUACCAGUCCUUUUAGUAUCAACAAAUUUUAUCUUUACUCUAAAAGUUCUCCCCUUCUCUUAUAAAACUCUAGUAAAAAAGUACCCUUUAGGGGUUUAAUUUACCGUCUAGGUACCCUUUAAACCUAAUAAAGAUGACUAACACUAGUCUUUUACGUAUUACCGCGGCUGCUGGCAC